GAACUGCGCCAGUGCUCAUACACUAAAACUGGGGUGAUCCCCAGAAGAUUAACAUGGCUCCUGAACAAGGAUGACACACAGAUUCAUGGAUCAUUGUAUAUUGUU
Molecule: small nuclear RNA, 105 nt
Organism: Mesocricetus auratus (golden hamster)
Lineage: Eukaryota; Metazoa; Chordata; Mammalia; Rodentia; Cricetidae
Source: Ensembl